Molecule: small RNA, 53 nt
Filed under: Sinorhizobium meliloti 2011
Lineage: Bacteria; Pseudomonadati; Pseudomonadota; Alphaproteobacteria; Hyphomicrobiales; Rhizobiaceae
Description: putative ncRNA
Source: RNAcentral
AGAACGCCAUGAACCGGAUGGCCGCGUUCGUCGAGGACGCGGCCAUGGACGAU